This 560-nucleotide long non-coding RNA is filed under the name Heterocephalus glaber (naked mole-rat). RNAcentral describes it as "lncRNA (ENSHGLG00100034653.1)". Lineage: Eukaryota; Metazoa; Chordata; Mammalia; Rodentia; Bathyergidae. The record is from RNAcentral.
GGGGGCUGGGAAAGUUGAGGCCGCGCUGCCGCCGGGUCUCCGGCCUUGAGGGCUCGGGCUCGCAACGGCGGCGGCGGCGGCCGCAGGAAGAGGCAGCGGGGGGGGGGGGAGAGGAGGGCUUGGGCCCACGCUCCCCAGCCCCGGAGGAGCAGGCGGCGGCCGCGGACCGAGGGAUUCGCCGGGGCAGUCAGACAUCCCUGCCUUCCCCGCCUGGGAUCAUGACCCAGGCGGGGAUCGCCGUCGCCGCCGCCACCAGCGCGGCCGAGACCGCGCAGCCGGCGGCUUUCCUCUGCCAUGUCCUUCGGCAGUGAUGUUUCUGACUAGAAGAAGUCCAAAAGUAAUGGAUCCAGCCAACUAUGGACUGAAACUUUAGAGGAAAACAUAACCUAUAGACCAUCUUCUGGCAGAAGAUGAUAGAUUUGGAUCAGAAAGCGGGAGGUGUUGGAAGCCAGGAAUCAAAAGUGAAGAAAUUCUGCAAACCCUUGGGUGAAAAAGGUUCCUAUUACUGUAACCAUGCCAGAAAUGACAGAGAAUGAGACGCCUACAAAAAAGCAGCACAG